UACGGAGGAUGCGAGCGUUAUCCGGAUUUAUUGGGUUUAGAGGGUGCGUAGGCGGGCUUUUAAGUCAGCGGUAAAAAUUCGGGGCUCAACCCCGUCUGGCCGUUGAAACUGGGGGCCUUGAGUGGGCGAGAAGAAGGCGGAAUGCGUGGUGUAGCGGUGAAAUGCAUAGAUAUCACGCAGAACCCCGAUUGCGAAGGCAGCCUUCCGGCGCCCUACUGACGCUGAGGCACGAAAGUGCGGGGAUCGAACAGG
Molecule: ribosomal RNA, 252 nt
Filed under: uncultured bacterium
Lineage: Bacteria
Description: partial 16S ribosomal RNA
Rfam family: Bacterial small subunit ribosomal RNA
Source: RNAcentral